Molecule: ribosomal RNA, 274 nt
Filed under: uncultured bacterium
Lineage: Bacteria
Description: partial 16S ribosomal RNA
Rfam family: Bacterial small subunit ribosomal RNA
Source: RNAcentral
AUACAGAGGGUGCGAGCGUUAAUCGGAAUUACUGGGCGUAAAGCGCGCGGAGGCGGCUUAUUAAGUCAGAUGUGAAAUCCCCGGGCUCAACCUGGGAACUGCAUCUGAUACUGGUAAGCUAGAGUUUUGGAGAGGGAAGUAGAAUUUCAGGUGUAGCGGUGAAAUGCAUAGAGAUCUGAAGGAAUACCAGUGGCGAAGGCGACUUCCUGGCCAAAAACUGACGCUGAGGUGCGAAAGCGUGGGUAGCAAACGGGAUUAGAAACCCCGGUAGUCC